Propithecus coquereli (Coquerel's sifaka) is the source of this 436-nucleotide long non-coding RNA. RefSeq lists it as uncharacterized. The transcript is spliced from 2 exons. The record is from RefSeq and is a predicted model, not a curated record. Lineage: Eukaryota; Metazoa; Chordata; Mammalia; Primates; Indriidae.
AGCUCAGAGAGUGGCAACAGUGUGAAAAGACUGAAACCGGACCCUGACCCAGAUGACAAGAAUCAAGAGGCCUCGUCCUGCAAGUCUCUUGGGAACACUUCCCUGAGCGGCCCCUCCAUCCACUGCCCCUCAGCUGCAGUCUGCAUUGGCAUCCUCCCAGGCUUGGGCGCCUACUCUGGGAGCAGCGACUCUGAAUCCAGCUCAGACAGUGAAGGCACCAUCAACGCCACCGGGAAGAUCGUCUCCUCCAUCUUCCGAACCAACACCUUCCUCGAAGCCCCCUAGCUCCUCUGUCCUUCCCAGAGGGAGCUGCUCCCCAAGGGUAGAUCGGACCGUUCAUUCUGCCUCCAGGCAUCACAUCUCUCAAAAAACUCCUUUGCCUGCUUCCUGUGUACACCGUGACACUUUUAACCUAAUCUAAAAACGUGCCAGAAUC